This 530-nucleotide long non-coding RNA is filed under the name Anas platyrhynchos platyrhynchos (common mallard). RNAcentral describes it as "lncRNA (ENSAPLG00000018106.1)". Lineage: Eukaryota; Metazoa; Chordata; Aves; Anseriformes; Anatidae. The record is from RNAcentral.
UAUACAAAGCUAUCUGGGACUCAAGAUGUAACAGAAAUUGAGUCUACCACAGCUGCAAUUACAACCAAAGAAAUCUGAUAAAACCUAGGUUUGAAAAAAGCCAGAAUUGUAAUAUGAUCAGCUCUAGCCUUUUGUUACGAGUUUCAUAUUGUUUUUUGUUUUUCAAGUGUCAGUUCCUGGAAUCACGAUUAUAUUACACCUUCAGCUUAAAAAUAUACCUGCACUCUUCUUAGGGAAGGCCUUUCCACUCCUCUUCAUCCAGCUGUUUGGAGAGAAGUGGCUGCGCUCUGAAAGGGAGGAUGGAGCAGCUCACCAGGCACCCAGGAAGUAUCCAAAAUUGGGCAGAAAAGGAAGAGAGUCAUUCCAAACUCAGUAGUAGCUGAACCAUUGUGCAUCUGCAAGGCAGCCUUGAGUAAGUGAGGAGUUACUGCCUCUCACGGAGGCAAGAUGCAGAUGAUCAGCUGCCAGCUGGCCAGGUAGUAGAUCUUAUUCCUGUUGCAUUCCUGUGGACACUGUGGAGAGAACAACUG